RNAcentral lists this transfer RNA (73 nucleotides) under candidate division MSBL1 archaeon SCGC-AAA259D14. Its description in RNAcentral is "candidate divison MSBL1 archaeon SCGC-AAA259D14 tRNA". It matches the Rfam family "tRNA". Rfam says of the family: Transfer RNA (tRNA) molecules are approximately 80 nucleotides in length. Their secondary structure includes four short double-helical elements and three loops (D, anti-codon, and T loops). Further hydrogen bonds mediate the characteristic L-shaped molecular structure. tRNAs have two regions of fundamental functional importance: the anti-codon, which is responsible for specific mRNA codon recognition, and the 3' end, to which the tRNAs corresponding amino acid is attached (by aminoacyl-tRNA synthetases). tRNAs cope with the degeneracy of the genetic code in two manners: having more than one tRNA (with a specific anti-codon) for a particular amino acid; and 'wobble' base-pairing, i.e. permitting non-standard base-pairing at the 3rd anti-codon position. The record is from Rfam by way of RNAcentral. Lineage: Archaea; Methanobacteriati; Methanobacteriota.
GCGGCCGUGGUCCAGCUGGUUCAAGACGCCGGCCCGCCACGCUGGCGACGGGGGUUCAAAUCCUUCGGCCCUA